This 326-nucleotide ribosomal RNA is filed under the name uncultured Spirochaetota bacterium. RNAcentral describes it as "bacterial SSU rRNA". It matches the Rfam family "Bacterial small subunit ribosomal RNA", at positions 28 to 351 of the family's 1533-position model. Lineage: Bacteria; Pseudomonadati; Spirochaetota. The record is from RNAcentral.
AACGAACGCUGGCGGCGUGUCUUAAGCAUGCAAGUCGAGCGGCAAGGCGGGGCAACCUGCCCUAGAGCGGCGGACUGGUGAGUAACACGUGGGUGAUCUACCUCUGGUUUGGGGAUAGCUCGUGGAAACACGGGGUAAUACCGAAUACGUCGGCAUGGCUACGGCCGUGUCGGGAAAGGCGCUAAGGCGCCGACCGGGGAUGAGCCCGCGCCCCAUUAGCUAGUUGGUGAGGUAAUGGCCCACCAAGGCUAUGAUGGGUAGCCGGCCUGAGAGGGUGUACGGCCACACUGGGACUGAGAUACGGCCCAGACUCCUACGGGUGGCAG